Molecule: ribosomal RNA, 464 nt
Filed under: uncultured bacterium
Lineage: Bacteria
Description: partial 16S ribosomal RNA
Rfam family: Bacterial small subunit ribosomal RNA
Source: RNAcentral
CUACGGGCGGCUGCAGUAGGGAAUCUUCCGCAAUGGGCGAAAGCCUGACGGAGCAACGCCGCGUGAGUGAUGAAGGUCUUCGGAUUGUAAAACUCUGUUAUUAGGGAAGAACAAAUGUGUAAGUAACUAUGCACGUCUUGACGGUACCUAAUCAGAAAGCCACGGCUAACUACGUGCCAGCAGCCGCGGUAAUACGUAGGUGGCAAGCGUUAUCCGGAAUUAUUGGGCGUAAAGCGCGCGUAGGCGGUUUUUUAAGUCUGAUGUGAAAGCCCACGGCUCAACCGUGGAGGGUCAUUGGAAACUGGAAAACUUGAGUGCAGAAGAGGAAAGUGGAAUUCCAUGUGUAGCGGUGAAAUGCGCAGAGAUAUGGAGGAACACCAGUGGCGAAGGCGACUUUCUGGUCUGUAACUGACGCUGAUGUGCGAAAGCGUGGGGAUCAAACAGGAUUAGAUACCCGAGUAGUC